This 253-nucleotide ribosomal RNA is filed under the name uncultured bacterium. Its description in RNAcentral is "partial 16S ribosomal RNA". It matches the Rfam family "Bacterial small subunit ribosomal RNA", at positions 524 to 776 of the family's 1533-position model. The record is from RNAcentral.
UACAGAGGUCUCAAGCGUUGUUCGGAUUCAUUGGGCGUAAAGGGUGCGUAGGUGGCGCUGUAAGUCGGGUGUGAAAUUUCGGAGCUUAACUCCGAAACUGCAUUCGAUACUGCGGUGCUUGAGGACUGGAGAGGAGACUGGAAUUCACGGUGUAGCAGUGAAAUGCGUAGAUAUCGUAAGGAAGACCAGUGGCGAAGGCGAGUCUCUGGACAGUUACUGACGCUGAGGCACGAAGGCCAGGGGAGCAAACGGG